This 373-nucleotide ribosomal RNA is filed under the name uncultured organism. RNAcentral's name for it is "partial 16S ribosomal RNA". It matches the Rfam family "Bacterial small subunit ribosomal RNA", at positions 527 to 896 of the family's 1533-position model. The record is from RNAcentral.
GUAGGUGGCAAGCGUUGUCCGGAACUAUUGGGCGUAAAGCGCGCGCAGGCGGUUCUUUAAGUCUGAUGUGAAAGCCCACGGGCUCAACCGUGGAGGGUCAUUGGAAACUGGAGAACUUGAGUACAGAAGAGGAAAGCGGAAUUCCACGUGUAGCGGUGAAAUGCGUAGAGAUGUGGAGGAACACCAGUGGCGAAGGCGGCUUUCUGGUCUGUAACUGACGCUGAGGCGCGAAAGCGUGGGGAGCAAACAGGAUUAGAUACCCUGGUAGUCCACGCCGUAAACGAUGAGUGCUAAGUGUUAGGGGGUUUCCGCCCCUUAGUGCUGCAGCUAACGCAUUAAGCACUCCGCCUGGGGAGUACGGCCGCAAAGGCUG